UACAUAAUGUAAUUUCAGCGAAGGAGGUUCUGUUGAACUCCUUCCGCUCACCUAGCUUCGCCCCUGCUUAUCACUUCUAGAAAAUAGGCUUUUUCCGUCCAAGACAUAUCGACCAAAGUCGGUCAGAAAAAAAAGACCGAAAUUGGUCGGAAAUACCAGUAUUUGAUCGAAAAAGUCAAAAAAAAAAUUUCCGACACCGAAAAUAUCGCACAACAAAAUAAAAUUUCAACCGAUUUCGGUCAGAAAUUGAUCAAUAUUUAACCAAUACCUGAUCAUACUUGUAUAUAAUGUACAAAAAUAAUUUUUUAUUAAAAUAUUUCCACAUUUCUGACCGAAGUCGGUCGAAAAGUUUGAAAUUAUUGGUUUUUGCCCAAGACAAAAAUUAUAUAUAUUUAAUUAAUCAGUCGAAAUAAAUAUAAUUUAAUAUUUUCAACCGAGUUCGGUCGAAAAAUGCUUUUUCUACAAAUUAAAAU
Molecule: long non-coding RNA, 473 nt
Filed under: Nicotiana benthamiana
Lineage: Eukaryota; Viridiplantae; Streptophyta; Magnoliopsida; Solanales; Solanaceae
Description: long non-coding RNA (NBEN_LNC027822)
Source: RNAcentral